AAUGAACGCUGGCGGCAUGCCUAACACAUGCAAGUCGAACGAAGCCUUCGGGCUUAGUGGCGCACGGGUGCGUAACGCGUGGGAAUCUGCCCUUGGGUUCGGAAUAACUCUCCGAAAGGAGUGCUAAUACCGGAUGAUGUCGAAAGACCAAAGAUUUAUCGCCCAGGGAUGAGCCCGCGUAGGAUUAGCUAGUUGGUGAGGUAAAAGCUCACCAAGGCGACGAUCCUUAGCUGGUCUGAGAGGAUGAUCAGCCACACUGGGACUGAGACACGGCCCAGACUCCUACGGGAGGCAGCAGUGGGGAAUAUUGGACAAUGGGCGAAAGCCUGAUCCAGCAAUGCCGCGUGAGUGAUGAAGGCCUUAGGGUUGUAAAGCUCUUUUACCCGGGAUGAUAAUGACAGUACCGGGAGAAUAAGCCCCGGCUAACUCCGUGCCAGCCGCCGCAGUAA
RNAcentral lists this ribosomal RNA (449 nucleotides) under uncultured bacterium. RNAcentral describes it as "partial 16S ribosomal RNA". It matches the Rfam family "Bacterial small subunit ribosomal RNA", at positions 29 to 523 of the family's 1533-position model. The record is from RNAcentral.